GACGAACGCUGGCGGCGUGCUUAACACAUGCAAGUCGAACGAUGAAGCGGGUGCUUGCACUCGUGGAUUAGUGGCGAACGGGCGAGUAACACGUGAGUAACCUGUCCUUUUCUUUGGGAUAACGGCUGGAAACGGCUGCUAAUACUGGAUAUUCAGGCUGCAUCGCAUGGUGUGGUUUGGAAAGGUUUUUUCUGGGAUUGGGUGGGCUCGCGGCCUAUCAGCUUGUUGGUGGGGUGAUGGCUUACCAAGGCUUUGACGGGUAGCCGGCCUGAGGGGGUGGGCGGUCGCACUGGGACUGAGAUACGGCCCAGACUCCUACGGGAGGCAGCAGUGGGGAAUAUUGCACAAUGGACGAAAGUUUGAUGCAGCGACGCCGCGUGGAGGGUGUAGGCCUUCGGGUUGUGAACUCCUUUGUCUCGCGAAAAAGGCACAGUUUUGGCUGUGUUGAUGGUAGUGGGGGAAGAAGCGCCGGCUAACUACGUG
RNAcentral lists this ribosomal RNA (483 nucleotides) under uncultured bacterium. Its description in RNAcentral is "partial 16S ribosomal RNA". It matches the Rfam family "Bacterial small subunit ribosomal RNA", at positions 28 to 507 of the family's 1533-position model. The record is from RNAcentral.